CCAGACUCCUACGGGAGGCAGCAGUGGGGAAUAUUGCACAAUGGGGGAAACCCUGAUGCAGCGACGCCGCGUGAGUGAAGAAGUAUUUCGGUAUGUAAAGCUCUAUCAGCAGGGAAGAAAAUGACGGUACCUGACUAAGAAGCCCCAGCUAACUACGUGCCAGCAGCCGCGGUAAUACGUAGGGGGCAAGCGUUAUCCGGAUUUACUGGGUGUAAAGGGAGCGUAGACGGCGCUGCAAGUCCGGAGUGAAAGCCCAUGGCUUAACCAUGGUACUGCUCUGGAAACUGUGGAGCUUGAGUGCGGGAGGGGCAGGCGGAAUUCCUAGCGUAGCGGUGAAAUGCGUAGAUAUUAGGAGGAACACCAGUGGCGAAGGCGACUUUCUGGACUGUACCUGACGCUGAGGCGCGAAAGCGUGGGUAGCGAACGGGAUUAGAUACCCUGGUA
Molecule: ribosomal RNA, 444 nt
Filed under: uncultured bacterium
Lineage: Bacteria
Description: bacterial SSU rRNA
Rfam family: Bacterial small subunit ribosomal RNA
Source: RNAcentral